This 253-nucleotide ribosomal RNA is filed under the name uncultured bacterium. RNAcentral describes it as "partial 16S ribosomal RNA". It matches the Rfam family "Bacterial small subunit ribosomal RNA", at positions 524 to 776 of the family's 1533-position model. The record is from RNAcentral.
UACGAAGGGGGCUAGCGUUGCUCGGAAUGAUUGGGCGUAAAGGGCGCGUAGGCGGAUGGCUUUGUCGGGCGUGAAAUUCCAGGGCUUAACCUUGGGUGUACGUUCGAGACGGGUUGUCUGGAGUGGGGAAGAGGGUCGUGGAAUUCCCAGUGUAGAGGUGAAAUUCGUAGAUAUUGGGAAGAACACCGGUGGCGAAGGCGGCGACCUGGGCCUUUACUGACGCUGAGGCGCGAAAGCGUGGGGAGCAAACAGG